This 1290-nucleotide long non-coding RNA is filed under the name Equus caballus (horse). RNAcentral describes it as "lncRNA (ENSECAG00000056295.1)". Lineage: Eukaryota; Metazoa; Chordata; Mammalia; Perissodactyla; Equidae. The record is from RNAcentral.
AGAUAACUUUAUAGAGAGAACUAGGAAAUCUCUCUCUCAGGUGUUUUCUCAGUGUUCAUCUUUUUCUUUCUUUUCCUGUUCCCUUUCUGCUCCUUUAUCUGCUGCCAACUUCACCUGCCUCACCUUUGUUUCACGGGCCCCAAACCACGCCACAGCACUCACUCACACUCACCCACGUCUCCUCCCCUCAUUCCAUUUCAGCUAGAGGAGCUUUCUCGACAUUAACGCUUCCCUCGCCUGGAACUCUUCAUGUAACCCAGCUGAUAGGCAGUUCUCCUUGGGUUGUCCUCUCCUCCCCUUCCAAGGCUGAGGGAAGAAGGCAAAAAGCCCGGUGCUGGCAGAGGCAAAUUGGCCACCCCAGGGAAGACCGGGCUAAUGUGACAGCCUCAAGCAACAGAGAAGGAAGAUUAGCCCUGAGCUAACAUCUGCUGCCAAUCCUCCUCUUUUGGCUGAGGAAGAUUGACCCUGAGCUAACAUCUUUGCCCAUCUGCCUCUAUUUUAUGUGGGAUGCCUACCACAGCAUGGUGUGCCAAGCAGUGUCACGCCCACACUCAGUAUCCGAACCCCCAGUCCCGGGGCCACUGAAGUGGAACAUUCGCACUUAACCGCUGCAGCAGUGGGCCGGCCCCGUCAAGCACUGUAAUUCUAUAACUCAUUUUAUUUUCAUGACAAACGCAUGAAGAGGAGGAAAUUGAGGUCGAGAGAGGUUAUUUUGCUCAAGUCUAUAGCUAAUUUAUAGGGUUUAGGCCUGUCUAAAUACAGAACCUCUGCUCAUAAGUAUUUUUGGAGUUCAAAACUCUAAAACAUUUGAAGUGCUGUGGACAAACUAGGAAAAGAGUUUCAACAAAUAUGACAAAAUUUAUAGAAUUGAAUUUUUUGAGAAUAUUAAAUGAUUACAUUUUCAACUCCAUUAAGAACACAAAGCUACAGACCAGUAGAAAAUAUUCACAAAACACUAUGUCUGACAAAGCAUACCCAGGAUAUACAAAGAACUCUUAAAUUCAACAAUAAAAAGACAAACAACCCAAUUAAAAAGGGCAAAAGAUUUUAGAUGACUCUUCACAAAAAGAAAUAUAUGAACAGCCAAUAAGCAUACGAAAAAAUGCUCGUCAUCAUUAGUGAUCAGAGCAAUGAAAAUCACAAGGAAAUACCGUUAUAUACUCACUGGUAUGUCUAUAAUUAAAAAGACAAACAUUAAGUGUUAACAAGGAUGUAGAACAAUUGGAACUCUCAUACAUGGUUCAACCAGUUUGGACAAAGUUUUACAGUUUCUUAAAGACUAAAUACAUA